Molecule: ribosomal RNA, 370 nt
Filed under: uncultured bacterium
Lineage: Bacteria
Description: bacterial SSU rRNA
Rfam family: Bacterial small subunit ribosomal RNA
Source: RNAcentral
GUAGGCAGCAAGCGUUGUUCGGAGUUACUGGGCGUAAAGGGUGUGUAGGCGGUGAUUUAAGUUUGGUGUGAAAUCUCCCGGCUUAACCGGGAGGGUGCGCCGAAUACUGAAUGACUUGGAGUGCGGGAGAGGAAAGUGGAAUUCCUGGUGUAGCGGUGAAAUGCGUAGAUAUCAGGAGGAACACCGGUGGUGUAGACGGCUUUCUGGACCGUAACUGACGCUGAGACACGAAAGCGUGGGUAGCAAACAGGAUUAGAUACCCUGGUAGUCCACGCCCUAAACGAUGCAUAUUUGGUGUGGGCAGUUCAUUCUGUCCGUGCCGGAGCUAACGCGUUAAAUAUGCCGCCUGGGGAGUACAGUCGCAAGGCUG